UUUCUGCAGAUUUAUCAAAACACUCCCCCUCCCCCAAUCAUUUACCCUAAAUCAAAACAAAAAGUGGCAAAGGCGAAAAUUUGUGCAAACAGAAUUCCAAAGCUGCAUCAAGGCUCCAAUCACACUGCUAAACAACAUUCAAAAGCCCUCAAUCCUAACACUUUGAACAUGUCAGACAAUCAACCAGCACGCAGGACUGCGUCUUCUAGAGAGGGAAUGGGUGGCGCUAAGGGAAGAAAGGGUUCUUCAAAGAAGGAGGUGAAGGAGGUGAAGGAGGUGAAGGAGAAGAAGAAGGUUUUGACUGGUUCUGCUUCUCGUCCCCUGGGGGUCCAUGGCUCGGACGUGCAGACUCAGUCUUCAGGCGUGAUCAACGCUGAUGGUUCUGAUACUGAGUGGGAUGAGGAUUGGUAUAAUUAUCUUCAUUCGGAGGAGUUCGCUCGUCGGGAAGAAUAACGUGUUUUUAUUUUGUUUGAUGUGUAUUUUGUAACGCUCGUCGGGCAGAAUAACGUGUUUUUGUUUUGUUUGACGUGUUUUGUUUUGUUUUGUUCUGAUUUCGGAUUGUAUCGCACAGUGUUUUUGUAUUGGAUUUAUCAUCUUAGUUUUUGGAUUGUUCUGAUUUCAAUAUGUAGAUUCUUGGAUUUCAUCGCCGCGAACACUAUCCAUCUUCUGGAUUAUAAACAUAGAACUUUGACUUUCCCAGCGCACCCCUUUGUUUGAUUUUUUUGUAAUGACGUCCCCUGAUCAGGUAAGAAAUGUGGACACAUGUGCCUACGUAAGCCUUCUAAGACGGUUACCUUCUAAGAAAUGUGGUAACACUUUCCUACUUAAAAGCCUACGUAACAAAAAUUGGGAAGCUCCACAGCCACGCCCUAUUUAAAAGAAUAAAAAACCUUUUGAAAUUUCGAAGUUCCCUUUUCCUUCUCCCCACCACU
This is a long non-coding RNA of Vicia villosa (hairy vetch), 932 nucleotides long. RefSeq lists it as uncharacterized. The record is from RefSeq and is a predicted model, not a curated record. NCBI's taxonomy places the organism in Eukaryota, Viridiplantae, Streptophyta, Magnoliopsida, Fabales, Fabaceae. The transcript is spliced from 3 exons.